RNAcentral lists this long non-coding RNA (3225 nucleotides) under Marmota monax (woodchuck). Lineage: Eukaryota; Metazoa; Chordata; Mammalia; Rodentia; Sciuridae. The record is from RNAcentral.
AGAAGGAAAGAGUAAGUAACAAGAAAAAGCUGGGGAGAGAGAUGGUCCCAGGAUGGGGACAUUCUGAGUACACUUUGAACAGGUUUGUCUGCUUUUCUUUCAGAAAAGCGCAGUCUCCCUGUAAUGAGGGAGAUGGGGUGAUGUUUCGGAUGCCACCUGGUGGCCAAGGCAGGUAAAGCACUUUUGUAGCCUCUGUUGGUCUGUGUCUCAGGUGGAGAGGAAAAGAGUGGAGAAUUUGAUUGGGUUUUGGGGGUCCUCUUCCUCCCUGUCAUACAGCAUACAUUGGAGGAAUCCUUACUACCAAAAUUAAUGCUUAAACUUUCCUCCUUUAAAACCAGCACCAUAGUUUCAUCUACAUCUAUGAUAUGCUACUCCUGAAUUAACUGGUCCAUCUUUUUGUCAGACUAUUUUUCAUAAAGUAGAACUUUGAUUUCAUUUCUCUGUUCAGAAAUUAUUUUUGUCUUUCUAUUGCAUAAUGAGUCAACAACUGGCAUUUCAGGCCUUCCAUCUUUGCUCCCAGCUCUUGUAGGAGUCUCACUUCUGAUUCUUUAGCCAAGGUGGAACUGGCCUUCUGGAAAGGUCUGUAGUCCUCCUCACUGUCUGCUCUUGUUUGUGCUGCUUUUCCUGGAUGCAAACAGAGAGGAAGCCAGUAUCUUGACUAUGAAAAUACUGAUUGCAAAGACUGAUUUCACCAGAGUUGUCUCUCUGAUCUUCCAUUUCUUUGCCUGUAAAGCAGAGAUUAGAAAAACCCCACCCCAGAAGAUCCCGUGAGGAUUAACUAAUCUCAUGCACUGUAAAAUGUCUGGCCUUUGGAGAGUUAAUAAAUGGCAACUACACUUUAUUUUUGUUUCUUCAAACAUCACCCGCCGUUCAAAGUACACUCAAUGGCCAUUUCCUUCCAAAUUCCCUUCCUGACCCUCCCACUUCCUGGCCCAAUCAUUCUCCUUCCUCUGCACCACUCUGAGCCUCUGUCCCUCAAGCUGCUGUUCCCACACUUGUCACACAGUCCACCCAUACUCCUCCCAGCUGGGAUCUCUAUGGAAGUGGCCAUCAGUACAGUGUCUUGGUGCCACACGGGUGGCUUCCAUGUCAAGGAUGGAAGUGGAGAGCUGGUGCCGUAAAGACCAGCAGCCAGGAAUUGCUCUGAGUCUGGGAUCAAAAUGAGCCUCAAGUCUCAGAGCUACUGACUAAUGGCUUUUUGGAAAUAAUUGUUUUUCUAAAUAUGACAAUACUCAUGAUCAUUGCAGGUAAAAGAAUGAACAAGAUAAAAAGCACCUGUAAUUGCAUCAACCAGAGAUGACCACCCAUAAUUUCUGAUUAGCUUUACUCUCUGUAUUCCUGUAAGUAUAAUAUACACAUAAAAUUUACUUUCUGUUACAUGGUAGGUGUGUAUUCCAGCAUCUUCUCCACAACUUGUGAGGAGCAUUUUUACAUUUCACUAAAUAUCAUCCAUCAACAUUGUUAUCUCUGCAUAUUUGCUCAUUGUAUGAGUAUGCCAUAAUUUUUAAACUUUUUUAUCAUUGUAUAUUUAGGUGUCCCUUUUUUGGCUUUGAAAGAAAUUGUUAUCAAAGAUGCUUACAGAAAUAUCAGAAUGCUUCUUGGAUUUGUGAUUAUGGGAAUGAAGAAAAAAAGUUCUUGCUUCUGAAUGCAUGCUCAGGAAACUGUUACUUGCUGAGUGGUUUCACCAGCUGCUCUAGCUGUUUCAUGAAUGUCCAUCUCUUUCCCAGGUUCUGAGGAGACAACCCAGCUUAGAAAUGGAAAAGUGGUUGGAUCUGUGUUUGCAAGAAUGGAUGGGCUGCAGAGGUCACAUUCCAGUGACCGUGUGGGCUCUGGGUGCUGCGUACACUUUCUUGCAGUGCUAUAGCUAUCUGAUCUCUUUGUUCCAUCUUGUAACUUAGUUUGUUCCUCUAUGCUUAUUAGCAAUAAAAUAUUUUUGACUCUCAGAAAACCUUGUUUGUUGCAGGGACAAGAAACCAGAAAAGAAGUAGAAAUCAUCAUUCCACUCCUGUAGCUGCAGAAAGUGGCUGUCCUGUUGUGUGUCCUCAGAGCUCCCUGUGUCUCUCCCUCACAGUACUUUGUGUGACUACAUGACAUAAAUUACUUGUGUACGUGUCACCUUCCCUAUCACAAUCUAAGUUCCGCACAGCAGGGCCACAUGGUCUUGUUUGCAGCUUUGUCUCUGGAGCUAAGCAUCAGACUGGACUUACCGCUGGUGCUCAGUACGUAGUUCGGCUAUGAAUUCAGACUGAAUGAGGACUCCACUUGGAAGGAUGUGUGUCACAUCCAGUCAUAGGGCCAUCGGAGACUGGGACAGGAAGAUGUCUUGAGUGACAACUCUGAGACUCUGAAAUGGUGCUGGCAGAGUGUACUCAAAAGGAUGUCCUAGAGCUCCAAUCUGUCCUAUUCACGGGCUUUGGACAUACAGCCAGCUGUGCCAGGGUUGGAAGUGGGUGUUGGUGACUGGUUCUGCAAGUAAGAAGAAUCACCUUCUAUAGAGUGCUCUUCCCCAGGCCCUGUGGACAUUCUCUUUCUCUUGCAUGCUUUUCUUAACUCUCUGGUCCGGAUGCCUUGCAUCUGCCUUUCAAAUGCACAUGGAGCCCUUUCCAUCCCCACUCCACCAAGUCUAACAUCAGAAAUCCUCAUUUCUGCAUUUCUGUAGGAGAAGCUAUAGGAAGAGCUGACAGUUCUAGCUGCAUCAGGCAGGAACUCUGCUGAGAAGUGAUAGUGCUGAUGGAUUACUUGGGUGUUCAUGAGCACGUGGCAUCUCAUCACACUCAGCAGGGAGGCAGGAUCAUGGCCACAGAACAAGUUUCCAUGGACUCAGGGAACUGAAGACUUACUUCCUUAUUUCUGUUGCUGGCAUCAUCUGUCUCCCACAUUGGUUUGAUUGGUUCCCCAAUCUGUGGAAAUCUUCCAUAGAAGACAUGGACAGAUAGAUGUGGAUAUCCAGGAGAAUCCUCUAGAAAUGGAAAGGAAGCUGUAGAUCUCAUUCAAAAAGAAUCCCUUUGGGGACAUGGAAAAUGCAAAAUGUAUUCAACAGGACUUGUGAAAUAGGGGCAAUGAUGGGAGGGAAGGAGGAGGAUAAAGUGAGUCAUUUUGAUGAGUAGAUGGGACUCUUCCAGCCUAUUUUCUUGGUUUCCUAGGUAGGGAGAGCUGCCACAGGACUUCAUAAACCACAACUUUCCAAUGAGUGUGGUUGGUUCAUUUUGAUGUAUUGAGCAGCAG